ACGAACGCUGGCGGCGUGCUUAACACAUGCAAGGCGAACGGAAAGGCCCUGCUUUUGUGGGGUGCUCGGGUGGCGAAAGGGGGAGUAACACGUGAGUAACCUGCCCUUGACUUUGGGAUAACUUCAGGAAACUGGGGCUAAUACCGGAUAGGAGCUCCUGCUGCAUGGGGGGGGGUGGAAAGUUUCGGCGGUUGGGGAUGGACUCGCGGCUUAUCCGCUUGUUGGUGGGGUAGUGGCUUACCAAGGCUUUGACGGGUAGCCGGCCUGAGAGGGUGACCGGCCACAUUGGGACUGAGAUACGGCCCAGACUCCUACGGGAGGCAGCAGUGGGGAAUAUUGCACAAUGGGCGGAAGCCUGAUGCAGCAACGCCGCGUGCGGGAUGACGGCCUUCGGGUUGUAAACCGCUUUCGCCUGUGACGAAGCGUGAGUGACGGUAAUGGGUAAAGAAGCACCGGCUAACUACGU
Molecule: ribosomal RNA, 466 nt
Filed under: uncultured bacterium
Lineage: Bacteria
Description: partial 16S ribosomal RNA
Rfam family: Bacterial small subunit ribosomal RNA
Source: RNAcentral